This 658-nucleotide ribosomal RNA is filed under the name uncultured fungus. RNAcentral describes it as "eukaryotic LSU rRNA". The stretch from base 270 to 424 matches the Rfam family "5.8S ribosomal RNA". Lineage: Eukaryota; Fungi. The record is from RNAcentral.
CUUGGUCAUUUAGAGGAAGUAAAAGUCGUAACAAGGUUUCCGUAGGUGAACCUGCGGAAGGAUCAUUACCGAGUUAGGGUCCGAAUGGGCCUGACCUCCCAACCCUGUGUUUACUUGACCCUACGUUGCUUCGGCGGGCCCGCCUUUACCGGCCGCCGGGGGUGACUGAACCCCCCUGGCGUGCGCCCGUCGAUGGCCCUCACCUUUUAAAACUCUGUAUAAGUCAUGUUGUCUGUCUGAGGACCAGCCUUUUUGAAACAAAAGCAAAAAACUUUCAACAACGGAUCUCUUGGUUCUGGCAUCGAUGAAGAACGCAGCGAAAUGCGAUAAGUAAUGCGAAUUGCAGAAUUCCAGUGAGUCAUCGAAUCUCUGAACGCACAUUGCGCCCUUUGGCAUUCCGAAGGGCAUGCCUGUCCGAGCGUCAUUAUCACCCCUCAAGCCCCCCGGCUUGGUGUUGGAGCCUCCGUUUCGGUACGGAUCUCUCAAAGACAAUGACGGCGGCCUCGUGGUUUCCCGGUACACUGAGCUUCCUAAUCGAGCACGUACUGAUGGAUCUCUGGGGCAGACGGUCUCCCUCCGCGAGGAGAAAAUUCUUCAAGGUUGACCUCGGAUCAGGUAGGAAUACCCGCUGAACUUAAGCAUAUCAAUAAGCGGAGGA